RNAcentral lists this ribosomal RNA (301 nucleotides) under uncultured Mycoplasma sp. RNAcentral's name for it is "bacterial SSU rRNA". The stretch from base 53 to 301 matches the Rfam family "Bacterial small subunit ribosomal RNA", at positions 547 to 795 of the family's 1533-position model. The record is from RNAcentral. Lineage: Bacteria; Bacillati; Mycoplasmatota; Mollicutes; Mycoplasmatales; Mycoplasmataceae.
AAAAAAAUGGGUGGAGGGGGCGGGAGAGAUACAGAGUGUGCGAGCGUUAAUCGGAUUUACUGGGGGUUAAGCUCGCGUAGGGGGAGAAUUAAGUAAAAUGUGAAAUCCCCGAGCUUAACUUGGGAAUUGCAUUCGAGACUGGUUGGCUAGAGUAUGGGAGAGGAUGGUAGAAGUCCAGGUGUAGCGGUGAAAUGCGUAGAGAUCUGGAGGAAUACCGAUGGCGAAGGCAGCCAUCUGGCCUAAUACUGACACUGAGGUGCGAAAGCAUGGGGAGCAAACAGGAUUAGAUACCCUAGUAGUC